Molecule: ribosomal RNA, 253 nt
Filed under: uncultured bacterium
Lineage: Bacteria
Description: partial 16S ribosomal RNA
Rfam family: Bacterial small subunit ribosomal RNA
Source: RNAcentral
UACGGAAGGGGUUAGCGUUGUUCGGAAUGACUGGGCGUAAAGCGCGCGUAGGCGGAUCAGGAAGUUGGGGGUGAAAUCCCGGGGCUCAACCCCGGAAUGGCCUUCAAAACUCCUGGUCUUGAGUUCGAGAGAGGUGAGUGGAAUUCCGAGUGUAGAGGUGAAAUUCGUAGAUAUUCGGAGGAACACCAGUGGCGAAGGCGGCUCACUGGCUCGACACUGACGCUGAGGUGCGAAAGCGUGGGGAGCAAACAGG